Molecule: long non-coding RNA, 643 nt
Organism: Fundulus heteroclitus (mummichog)
Lineage: Eukaryota; Metazoa; Chordata; Actinopteri; Cyprinodontiformes; Fundulidae
Exons: 3
Source: RefSeq, a predicted model, not a curated record
AAUGGACAGGAUGAGCACACCAACCGCAAUAUCAAGACUGCACUAGCCAAAUACUGUGGGGAGGAUCAAAACGACUGGGACAUCCAUCUACGGGGAGUAGUAGCAGGCAUCAACACAUCCAAACAGAGAUCUACAAAGUAAACACCCUAUUGUGCUCUGUUUGGAAGACACCCCCGCACACCAGGUGUAAUAAACAACACAACACAAGAAAAAGGGGAUGAUGACAAACGUGUCGUGGUGAUUGAGGAGACAGAAGAAGACCUGGAGGCCAAGGCUGCAGACAUUGCAGAUCUCCAUGCAAAGAUUUACCAGAACAUUAAAAACGCGCAGGACAGACAAAAGAAGGCGUAUGAGACAAAAAAAAGAGGGAACUUGAAAUCCUUCCACUUCAAAAUUGGUGAUGAGGUCCUCAAAGCAAAUAAAAGAAAGGAAGGCCGAAAAGGAGGGCGACUUGAAGCCAAUUGGUCUGGACCAUACGUCAUUACCUCCAUUUCAGAAAAGGGUGUGGCAACGCUGUCCAGCAAAACAGGUGCUCAGCUGAAACAAAACACAAAUGUUUCACAGCUGAAGCCUUUCAUACGCCCUACAUUGAGAGGUAUUAGGAUUAGCAAUUUAAAGACUCGCUGUACUUUCACAGUCAUAG